CUCGUGGGAAGAGCUUAUGUGCAGAGGGCGGGAGUGUGGUGCUGUGUGUUGUUCGCGCCGUCGUGCGUGCUUGGUCGCUGGUUCUUGACUCGUCGCGGGCUAGUACCGGCGGCGGCGACGGUGCCGGUGCGGCAGCCGGUAGCGCGGCGGCCCGGGCGCAGAGGAGGGAGUAGCCCGUAGCGGUCCGAGUGCGUCUUCCCACUGCGGCGACGGCGCCACCCAGCGCAGGCGCAGGCGCAGGUUCUCGGCUCGGGGCUCCGGCGCCGGGCGCAGCGGCCGCCGCAGCAGCAGCUACGUGCGCUGCUAGUUCAGGCCCUCAUCUGGUCCCCACUCCCUCAUGCACCUCCGACGCGUCCUCUACCGCGCCGCCGGCCUGCCGCCCGGCGGCUCCACCAAGCGCGGCGAGCCCACGCGGCCGCCGCUCGCGCAGGGGCCGCGCGGCUGCGACGAGAUGAACGGACCGUAGCUACCUCAACCUAAUCCCGAGUAGGCCGUGGUGCUCUCUAAUCGUUUUUACAAGCUGCAAACCACGAACGUAUAUGGGCAGGUUCUGGCGUGCUGGAAGGUUCCAGAACAACUCAUGCACCUCUCCUGUCACUUUAGUCUCUCCAGUGCCCGUGGCCUGUCUGGUCAGAUAGAACAACCUCUUAGGUAGCCUCGCACGUAACGAGAGCGGCACCGCCGCGCCUUGGCUCUGCAGCUAAACCAUAACCAGGAUCAGUUGGGUCCUUGUAGAAAGGUGUCCAGUGUCGACGUCAGAGAGAGUCGUAAGGACCUAAACCAGGGACUAGGUAAGGUAAAUUCGUGAGGCGUCAAGAAUUUAAAGGAGUGUCCGUUGAAGUACUUCUACAGAGGUUCUAAACUACUUCGACCAGUCCGUAACAGUCUCCAGUGGUGACCAAACGACGGAAGAGAGUACAUGGACUGACUAUAAAACGGUUUCCUUAGGUAACACACCUUCAACUUUUACAACUCCUGCCGCCGUAGUAUACAGUUAAGAGCGAAUGUACGUCAGUUUCGGGUCUGGGACCACCAACGAUCACCUUUACUACUUGACGACGGUUCGGCGCUGCUCCGACUUUCCGAUGCACGGUUCGAUUUCUUGACGUCUUAGGCAGUGAAGUCCCUGUUACCGGUGUUUUAGAACGACCUUCUACCCAAACUAGAUCGCUGUUCGUAAUUUCCUAGAUGUAUGAUAGCGGCGAGGUCCGUCGGUCUGAAACAAAGUCUGAUAGAUGGCGGUUGAGGGCUACUCGAGCUUUUCCGCUAACUAGUGCUGUCCGAGGACUUAAAACGGUGACUGGGCCACUACGAUAGCUGUGACUGACUACCCUCCUAUCACUCCCCUGACCGUCCCGACGGUUCCCUCCCGGGACAGGACAAGCAACCCAUGGUGUACGAGUACCCCAAACUCGAACCUGGGAACCAGUGUCCUCACGACUUUUCGUGACCUUAGGUGUAGGCGCCGAAUCGCGUAGGUAAGAACAAGUUGCUCUCAAGUCUCGUCGAGUACGGCCUAUGCAGCAUAAAGCUAGAGGGGGCCUAGUACCCACGCCACGGACAAUGGCCCCACUUGAAAAUGUUCGAGGAAAGUCUCUUCGUCAAGCACGACGACAAGGGCCCUCCGCGCGCACUUCGAGAAGUAUCCUUCCCCCUCCUUAUGUUCGACAAAACCGGACUCGUUAGACUCAAGCACGCCUACCGCAGUUCCAAACCUCGUUGUUAGCAUGGUAAACCUCACCAGCCUCUUCUACUAUAUACACUAAACAACAAUCUGAUGUUACUAGAACACUUCGAGGGUAAAAUACUGUGGUAACUGUUCUUCUAUUUACUUCCACCAGAUUCUUUCGAUUCCUGACUAAGAUGCCCUCUCUAUUUUUUGGUUCUAUACGUAGGACAUCACGAAUGCGGUUUUCACGGUCCCUCCAAAAUGAAGUAGAAACCCUUCGGAUAACUUUGUUCUCCCUCCCUCUUCCUCGAUUCUCUGUUUCUCUUCCGGGUCGUGGACAUAAACGUACAGUUUAGACUUCACCUCUCGACGUAGUUCAUAGACUUCCUCUUCUCUCUCCUCCUAGGGAUGUCCUCGUAUGACGGGUCCGAAGACAUAGUCCGUUGAGUACCAAGACUACGUCUUUAUGGGUGUAAACUUGGGACUCCGACUCUUCUCGUGAAGGUCUUGUGAUAAUCAAUCCUGGGUUUGGUUAACAAAUAUAAGAAGCACAAUUGUAAAAUGUAUGUAUCAAUAAACAAUAAUUAAAUGGAUUUCUAUUAACAUCAAAUAAGUAAAAAAAGUCCCUUUAAUAUCAACAGCCUCACAUUUGAGGCCUGUGGUCCCUAGUUCCUAUGGGACAUAAACGCACAAGCCAUUUCCGAGAUCCAAAGAGACUCAUUCGCCGUUUAAAACAAAGCGAGAUAAACUUGGACCAAUCAAUCCCUGGAAUAAGCUUUUCUUGUAAAGUCUUAGGUAGGUUAAAAAUACUUUAAAGGCUUUUUCCCAAAAAGGGGCGAAAUAUAAUAUUUCGUUGAAGGUAGCUAGUGUUCUAUUGACUACUCCGUUUGUCGUGUAGUUCGGAUUUUCUCUUUCUUUCUUCUUGAUUUACAGUUGUUGCCGUCGAGCUGUUUCGUGCUUACUAGGUGGUGGCAACCCGGGAAGUCUAAGCAGGGUGGCGUGUUCCGAGGCUUGGCGGCGCAUGGUUCUUCGUGGAGGUUCUUCCCUACGCUGCAGUUACUGCGACGACGAGCCUACACAGGAUUCCAAGGGGGUCCGUGCGCUUUUCCUCACGCCCUACCCAUUGUGGCUGCGGGAAGUCCUUCCUUUGCGCCGUGGGCGUCCGCUGUGGCGCAGCCGCGGCCUACUUGGCCGUGCCUAAAGAGGGCGUGGGGUUGGUGGUGAUGGGCGGGCUAAGCCUCGGUUGGUCGGUCGAACGGUGGGCGGUCAUAUGCGGUGGUGCCAGAACUUUAGUAGAUACGGCGGAGUGACUCUAGCGGUAGUGCUCCGGAUCUCCUACCUCUCUCCUUGCGGCCCUUAACCCUCCCCGUCGUAACCUCGGCGCGGCCUCCCUUGGCGGAGGUGACGGUAGCACGGGCUCCGGACACGGAGGUUGUGGCAGCGCCAUCGGCUGGCCUGCGCUGUCGUCUCCGUGUGGUACGAUGGGCCCGGGCGUUUCGGAGGGAUGCGGGGUUGAGGUGGAGAUCCCCCGAGGCGGCGGGUACUCUUCGGGGCCGGGUCUAGACCCGGCUCGUCCGCGAUGGUAGGGCGUCGUGGCGCUUCGAGGCGGCGCGUCGGUUGGAGGGAGUGGGCGCGGUCCAACGGGGCGGCGGACUCGCGUGGUGGUCCUCUGCGCGGAGGG
RNAcentral lists this ribosomal RNA (3350 nucleotides) under Triticum aestivum (bread wheat). Its description in RNAcentral is "partial small subunit ribosomal RNA". The record is from RNAcentral. Lineage: Eukaryota; Viridiplantae; Streptophyta; Magnoliopsida; Poales; Poaceae.